RNAcentral lists this ribosomal RNA (465 nucleotides) under Vreelandella stevensii. Its description in RNAcentral is "partial 16S ribosomal RNA". It matches the Rfam family "Bacterial small subunit ribosomal RNA", at positions 338 to 795 of the family's 1533-position model. The record is from RNAcentral. Lineage: Bacteria; Pseudomonadati; Pseudomonadota; Gammaproteobacteria; Oceanospirillales; Halomonadaceae.
CCUACGGGUGGCUGCAGUGGGGAAUAUUGGACAAUGGGGGCAACCCUGAUCCAGCCAUGCCGCGUGUGUGAAGAAGGCCCUCGGGUUGUAAAGCACUUUCAGUGAGGAAGAACGCCUGGUGGUUAAUACCCAUCAGGAAAGACAUCACUCACAGAAGAAGCACCGGCUAUCUCCGUGCCAGCAGCCGCGGUAAUACGGAGGGUGCGAGCGUUAAUCGGAAUUACUGGGCGUAAAGCGCGCGUAGGUGGCUUGAUAAGCCGGUUGUGAAAGCCCCGGGCUCAACCUGGGAACGGCAUCCGGAACUGUCAAGCUAGAGUGCAGGAGAGGAAGGUAGAAUUCCCGGUGUAGCGGUGAAAUGCGUAGAGAUCGGGAGGAAUACCAGUGGCGAAGGCGGCCUUCUGGACUGACACUGACACUGAGGUGCGAAAGCGUGGGUAGCAAACAGGAUUAGAUACCCCUGUAGUC